AUUGAACGCUGGCGGCAUGCCUUACACAUGCAAGUCGAACGGUAACAGCACUUCGGUGGCUGACGAGUGGCGAACGGGUGAGUAAUACAUCGGAACGUGCCCGAGAGUGGGGGAUAACGCAGCGAAAGCUGUGCUAAUACCGCAUACGAUCUACGGAUGAAAGCAGGGGACCGCAAGGCCUUGCGCUCACGGAGCGGCCGAUGGCAGAUUAGGUAGUUGGUGGGAUAAAAGCUUACCAAGCCGACGAUCUGUAGCUGGUCUGAGAGGACGACCAGCCACACUGGGACUGAGACACGGCCCAGACUCCUACGGGAGGCAGCAGUGGGGAAUUUUGGACAAUGGGCGAAAGCCUGAUCCAGCCUUGCCGCGUGCAGGAUGAAGGCCUUCGGGUUGUAAACUGCUUUUGUACGGAACGAAAAGGUCUUUUCUAAUAAAGAAGGCUCAUGACGGUACCGUAAGAAUAAGCACCGGCUAACUACGUGCCAGCAGCCGCGGUAAUACGUAGGGUGCAAGCGUUAAUCGGAAUUACUGGGCGUAAAGCGUGCGCAGGCGGUUAUAUAAGACAGAUGUGAAAUCCCCGGGCUCAACCUGGGAACUGCAUUAGUGACUGUAUAGCUAGAGUGCGGCAGAGGGGGAUGGAAUUCCGCGUGUAGCAGUGAAAUGCGUAGAUAUGCGGAGGAACACCGAUGGCGAAGGCAAUCCCCUGGGCCUGCACUGACGCUCAUGCACGAAAGCGUGGGGAGCAAACAGGAUUAGAUACCCUGGUAGUCCACGCCCUAAACGAUGUCAACUGGUUGUUGGGAAUUUACUUUCUCAGUAACGAAGCUAACGCGUGAAGUUGACCGCCUGGGGAGUACGGCCGCAAGGUUAAAACUCAAAGGAAUUGACGGGGACCCGCACAAGCGGUGGAUGAUGUGGUUUAAUUCGAUGCAACGCGAAAAACCUUACCCACCUUUGACAUGUAUGGAAGAUCGCAGAGACGCGAUUGUGCUCGAAAGAGAGCCAUAACACAGGUGCUGCAUGGCUGUCGUCAGCUCGUGUCGUGAGAUG
This 1050-nucleotide ribosomal RNA is filed under the name uncultured bacterium. RNAcentral's name for it is "bacterial SSU rRNA". It matches the Rfam family "Bacterial small subunit ribosomal RNA", at positions 28 to 1074 of the family's 1533-position model. The record is from RNAcentral.